Molecule: ribosomal RNA, 495 nt
Filed under: uncultured bacterium
Lineage: Bacteria
Description: partial 16S ribosomal RNA
Rfam family: Bacterial small subunit ribosomal RNA
Source: RNAcentral
GACGAACGCUGGCGGCGUGCCUAAUACAUGCCAGUCGAACGCUGAAGGAGGAGCUUGCUUCUCUGGAUGAGUUGCGAACGGGUGAGUAACGCGUAGGUAACCUGCCUGGUAGCGGGGGAUAACUAUUGGAAACGAUAGCUAAUACCGCAUAAGAUUGACUAUUGCAUGAUAGUCAGUUAAAAGGUGCAAUUGCAUCACUACCAGAUGGACCUGCGUUGUAUUAGCUAGUUGGUGGGGUAACGGCUCACCAAGGCGACGAUACAUAGCCGACCUGAGAGGGUGAUCGGCCACACUGGGACUGAGACACGGCCCAGACGCCUACGGGAGGCAGCAGUAGGGAAUCUUCGGCAAUGGACGGAAGUCUGACCGAGCAACGCCGCGUGAGUGAAGAAGGGUGUCGGAUCGUAAAGCUCUGUUGUAAGAGAAGAACGAGUGUGAGAGUGGAAAGUUCACACUGUGACGGUAGCUUACCAGAAAGGGACGGCUAACUACGUG